UACGUAGGGUGCGAGCGUUGUCCGGAAUUAUUGGGCGUAAAGGGCUCGUAGGCGGUUUGUCGCGUCGGGAGUGAAAACACACAGCUUAACUGUGUGCCUGCUUCCGAUACGGGCAGACUAGAGGUAUGCAGGGGAGAACGGAAUUCCUGGUGUAGCGGUGAAAUGCGCAGAUAUCAGGAGGAACACCGGUGGCGAAGGCGGUUCUCUGGGCAUUACCUGACGCUGAGGAGCGAAAGUGUGGGGAGCGAACAGG
This 253-nucleotide ribosomal RNA is filed under the name uncultured bacterium. Its description in RNAcentral is "partial 16S ribosomal RNA". It matches the Rfam family "Bacterial small subunit ribosomal RNA", at positions 524 to 776 of the family's 1533-position model. The record is from RNAcentral.